This 4504-nucleotide long non-coding RNA is filed under the name Homo sapiens (human). RNAcentral describes it as "HSALNT0044618". The record is from RNAcentral. Lineage: Eukaryota; Metazoa; Chordata; Mammalia; Primates; Hominidae.
ACCCGCCUCGGCCUCCCAAAGUGCUGGGAUUACAGGCGUGAGCCAGGGCGCCCGGCCAAAUUUUUUUUUUUUCUUUUUUUUUGAGAUGGAGUCUCACACUGUCACCCAGGCUGGAGUGCAGUGAUGCAAUCAUGGCUCACUGCAACCUCGAACUCUUGGGCUCAAGCAAUCCCAAAGUGCUGGGAUUACAGGCAUGUGCCACUGCAUUGGCUUCACCUAUCAUACCAUUUGGAUUGUUAUACAUGUCAUCAAUCAACAACUACCUAAUAAACCUGCCAAUUAAAUAAUUCUUAGUUGUUAUCCCUAAUGUGAAUUAAAUAUAUACAAAUAUUUAAAUAUAAUAAUUAAAGAGAACUAUUUGCUGCCAAAAACCUUCUUGGAAGAGAGAACAGGGGUGGGAGUGGUGUGGGUGUCAAGGUAUAGAUGGAAUCUCCUGUACAUAAGGCAUAUCAUACAUCUAAGAGUCCUUAAAAGCUGCAUUUUAGAUAGUUGAGGCUUUGCCCUUCCAUUUAGAAGGUUGCUCUGGGAAAAAGUAUUAAAAAAGACCAAGUAAUUUAAAAAUGGCCAUGAUUAGCUUGAACUUGAUUAUAUACUUCUUCUUAGUCCUAGUUUUUCUUAAAACUAGACUGAAGAUAUCAGUGGUAUCUGACAGGCUGACGAUAUCAGUGAUUAAGUUUCUUCCCUACAGGUGUAGAAAUAGGUCUGGAGUGUAAAAUAAUAAUUAACCACAAAUAUACACAAUUAUCUAUUCAAUCAAAAAAAAUUUUUUUUAAGUAAAUUAAAAUUUUUCUUUUCCUUCUAAGGUGAGUCAUUAGUGCAAUAAGUGUAGGAAUAGAUAAUAAUUCCAAACAUAUCUGAAGAAAAUGGUCCAUGGAGUGAAUCACCAAUGUAGUUAAUUAGUCUGUAUACAACUGACAAUGUAUCUCCACAAAUUAUCUAGUUUUUCAAUGAAAUAUUCUCAAAAUCAAUUUAUCAAAGAAGAUUUAAUCAUCCCCUUCCCUGCUUUUUUUUAAAGAGAUAAGGUCUCAACUAUGUGCCCAGGUUGGAGUGCAGUGGCUGGUCACAGAUGCAAUCACAGUGCACUGCAGGCUCAAACUCCUGGGACCAAGUGAUCCUCCCGCCUUUGAAUCCAGAAUACCUGGAACUACAAGCACAUGUGAUUGCACCUGGCAGAUUUAGUUACUAAAAUUUUUACUUUCAGUACCUAUUCAGCACCGUGUAAAAAUUCAGGAAUGAAGAUUCCUAACACAUUGGAUUCUACUUCUCAUGCAUUACAUUUCUCUUUUAAGUGAAAUAUGUCCAAUAUAUACAAUAAUGCACAAUCAUGAAGUGAUCCAUAUAAUUACUAUAUUAUAUACUAUACUUCUAACUUGAGAGGUUUUAAAUACUUUUAAUUAUAAAUUCUUUGAUAUAUUUCCAUACAUGCUGUAAAAACAAGGUAAUUCAAAAUACGUAAUCAUCAGUUAAAUAUGGUAACAUAAAAAAAUUCUUAAGUCAUAUUGAUGAUCUUUGUCACUGAAAUAUACAGUUUCCUAAGACUUAGAUAAAAAUAUAGUUUAAAGGAGUCACAGGUGAAAUGAAACACAUUUGGAAUGAAGCUGAUAUACGGUCCUUUGAAAACACCCUAGAGAUUAAUUGGCAAAAAAAAGUAGUUAGUAUUUCAUUGUCUUUUGGUUUAUAAUAUAAGGCUAACUACAUAGGAAUCAGGAAACUAAGUCCUGAUGCUUAAGUCCCAUAAGGACUAGUUAAUUUUACAUGUAUCUGUUUGAAAACCAGAUCAGCUGUAACAGAAAUGUAUGCCUCUGGGGACUGAGUACAAAAUAACCACCUUUGUCUGAAAAAUGUCCAUCAUAUUAUCUUCACAAAGAAAAUCUUUAUUAAAAAAAAAACUCACUCAAUGAAACUGAAUGUAAAAUACUGGAAAGUCUAAUUGAAAAGGCAUCUUUGUUAAUGGUCAGGAACUUACUAGUUCUGCCUUAUAUAGUUGUGAUUUUCUCAUUCUAACAUGUAUACUCAAAUCAGGCUGAGACCAUGUCUUAAACUGUCAUAUAGUUCAUGCAAUCUAUAGUGCCCAAUACAAGUGCUGUACAUGUGGCAAAGCACACAAUAUUAAUGAAAUUAAUGAAAACGAAUCUCCUUUUCUUUCGACAUUAACAAAGAGUAACAAUCAAAAAAUACAACAUUAAAAGGAGAAAAUGUGAAAAUACAUUUUGUACUAUUAUUUCAUUUGGGUUUGUUUCUAAAGUACUAUAAAAUUUUGCAGAUGUUGUCAGAUUCUAGUUAGAGUUCAGCUUCUCGUAAUUUCUACUAAUUGAAAAGUAAAGUGUUAUCUUUAUUCUCAGAGAACACCUAUCAUCAGUAAGAUAUAUGCUUAAAAAUAGAGACAAAAACCCAAAACACAAGAUUUUGGGAGUUUAUCCUCUCAUCUGGUAUGCCUUGAAACGAAUUUAUUACAACAUAUACCUGAGUUCAUAUGAUAUGAAUGGUGUGCUAAGUACCUAGAAGCAUUAACAUAAUAUUGUAUGUGGAUAUAUAUAUGUAUCAGCAUCACAGUCUUAUACUUAGGUAGAAAUCUCUUCUGUGAUUCUGAAAGUUCUUUAUACAAAGUUAACUACCCAGAACAAGAAGAGAACUCAUAUAAUAAUUCUACUAAUUAUCUGUAUGAACGUCUGCCGUAAGUUCCCUUUGUCCACUUUAUGUGUUAAAACCUGAUAGAUGCAAUGCUUUCUCAAUGAUCUGAUCCUGUAAUCUCACUGCUAUCACAUUCUGAAUCACUUAACGGUCAGCGCUGAAUAAUACACAUUAGAAAUAUAUUGUACCAUUAUACAAUUUAUAUCAGUCCAUUUAUAUCAGUAUGAUGGGCUUACAGCAUCUGAUAUACCAUCUGUGCAAAAAUAAGGUAAAAUUCACAAUGUAACUUCAGUCAUGCACCGCUUAACUAAGGGAUAUGUUCUGAGAAACACAUUGUUAGGUGAUUUCAGUUGUGUGAACAUCAUAGUUACAUAAACCUAGAUGGUAAAGCCUACCAUCUACCACUAUAUGAAUAUAAUCUUAUGGGACCCCUUUGUAUAUGUAGUUCAGAGGCAACUGAAACUUCGUUACGUGACACAUGACUGUAUUUUAAAUUUAGAAAGAUUCUGGCAAACAUGGGAUCACUAUAGGCUGUAAUGGUUAUUUAUAUAUAAAUGGGUUUGGAAAAGUAGAGCCAAUUUCAGAUUAACUGUACCAAUACUGAGUAACUAUACUGAGAAUACAAAAAUUAUUUCUUUAAACCUCUGAAAUGUACUAUAAUUUUAGAAGCAGAUUUAUUUUUGUACUUUGAUUGUCUCAGAUUAAAAUACUUUUGCAUUCUCUGUGCACGUAUUGUCUUAAUAAUGGAAGAAAUUUCAGGGCAAGGUAGAGGAAGGCCACCCAGUAAUUAAAGACUUGCAGGUAUAAAAAAUUACCUCCACAUUGAACCAUUUUGCUUUAUAUCUAUACACUUACUAAAAAACACCUUGACUUUUGAGAUCACAUUAUUUGCUGUAAGAUAAUACUGUUUUAAACACACCUAAAGUCUUUCAGCAUCCUUUUGUUUAUAUGGCCCUACUUUAUAUACAGGAUAAAAAAAAAAGCCCCCAAACUUAAGGUCGAAAGCAAGGGUGUCCAAUCUUUUGACUUCCCUGGGCCACACUGGAAGAACUGUCUUGGGCCACACAUAAAAUAUACUAACACUAGCGAUAGCUGAGAUUAAAAAAAAAAUUGCAAAAAAAAAAUAUCUCAUGUUUUAAUUAAGUUUACAAAUUUGUGUUGGGCCACAUUCAAAGUCAUUCUGGGUGGUAUGUGGCACACGGGCCUCAGGUUGGAAAAGCUUGGUCUGAAGUAAAUGAAUUCUAACUUUUAUUUAUAAGAUAAAUUCUUAGAAAAUGUUUUAGAUGACUUCAAAAUAGAAAAAAGGUUUAAGCUCUUUAGACUAUUCUGAAAAUGUUUCAUUAUUAAAUAAUGCAGUAAGUACCAUUUAAACUUUCACAAAAAAAUGGAACAAAUCUUUCAUGAAUAAACUUUAAAACUCAAGCUUUUUAAAAAAAUAUAUAAAGUAUAUAUAGGAAGUAUUUAAGUACACUUUCAUUGUAGCUGGAAAUAAACUUGGCUCCUGAUGUUCUAUAUUUAAAAACUGUCAGUUGUAUAGUACUAGUACUAAACAGCUAGGAAGUCAAUUUCUUUAUCAACUUUGAUGUUAUCAUUUGACAAGAUUUGCAAUCAUAAAUUUCUUAGGCUUUACAACUUAGAAGUACGUUAGUGAUCAUUCAGUCUUUUUUUUUUUUUUUUGAGAUAGAGUCUUGCUCUGUCGCCCAGGCUGGAGUGCAGUGGCAUGAUCUUGGCUCACUGCAACCUCUGCCUCCUGGGUUCAGGCGAUUCCCUUGCCUCAGCCUCUUGAGUAGCUGGGAUUACAGGCAUGCACCACCAUGCCCGGAUAAUUUUUGUAUUUUUAGUAGAGAUGGGGUUUUGCCAUGUUGGCCAGGCU